Ascodesmis nigricans is the source of this 110-nucleotide non-coding RNA. The record is from the annotation of a GenBank genome assembly. NCBI's taxonomy places the organism in Eukaryota, Fungi, Ascomycota, Pezizomycetes, Pezizales, Ascodesmidaceae.
ACUUCUGUGGCGCAGUGGUAGCGCGCCGCUCUUAUAUUUCACACCCGUUUGGGAUGAUUUAUGAUUUCUGAGCAAUGCGGAUGUCGUGGGUUCGACCCCCACCAGAAGUA